UUGGGGUAGAGCAUCCACACUUGAGGAUAGGCUAAUGAUCCAGGCUGUCUUGGACAAGCUGAAAAAGUCGGCAGAUACAAUCAUGAUGACAUUCAAUACCGACAAAUGUAAGGUACUCCACCUUGGGGAACCCUCCCUGCAGUAGGCUUAUAGACUCGGCAGUGCAACACUCACUAGCACCAAGACCAAAAGAGACUUGGGGGUCAUGAUUGACCACAAGAUGAACAUUAGCCACCAAUGUGAUGCUGUGGCUAUCAAAG
Gavialis gangeticus (Gharial) is the source of this 260-nucleotide long non-coding RNA. RefSeq lists it as uncharacterized. Lineage: Eukaryota; Metazoa; Chordata; Crocodylia; Gavialidae. The record is from RefSeq and is a predicted model, not a curated record. The transcript has 3 exons.